AUACCGGAUAAGCCCUUACGGGGAAAGAUUUAUCGCCGAAAGAUCGGCCCGCGUCUGAUUAGCUAGUUGGUAGGGUAAUGGCCUACCAAGGCGACGAUCAGUAGCUGGUCUGAGAGGAUGAUCAGCCACAUUGGGACUGAGACACGGCCCAAACUCCUACGGGAGGCAGCAGUGGGGAAUAUUGGACAAUGGGGGCAACCCUGAUCCAGCCAUGCCGCGUGAGUGAUGAAGGCCCUAGGGUUGUAAAGCUCUUUUGUGCGGGAAGAUAAUGACGGUACCGCAAGAAUAAGCCCCGGCUAACUUCGUGCCAGCAGCCGCGGUAAUACGAAGGGGGCUAGCGUUGCUCGGAAUCACUGGGCGUAAAGGGUGCGUAGGCGGGUUUUUAAG
RNAcentral lists this ribosomal RNA (387 nucleotides) under Bradyrhizobium sp. RNAcentral's name for it is "bacterial SSU rRNA". It matches the Rfam family "Bacterial small subunit ribosomal RNA", at positions 166 to 587 of the family's 1533-position model. Lineage: Bacteria; Pseudomonadati; Pseudomonadota; Alphaproteobacteria; Hyphomicrobiales; Nitrobacteraceae. The record is from RNAcentral.